Sapajus apella (tufted capuchin) is the source of this 549-nucleotide long non-coding RNA. RefSeq lists it as uncharacterized. The record is from RefSeq and is a predicted model, not a curated record. The transcript is spliced from 2 exons. NCBI's taxonomy places the organism in Eukaryota, Metazoa, Chordata, Mammalia, Primates, Cebidae.
AGCCCAGGAGAUAGCGUGAGACUCCAUCUCAAAAAAAAGAAGUUUGUUUUUAGCUUAAAAUUUUCAUUCUGUCUUCUGAAAAACAUAGAAAGUCAGUUUGGAGGCAGUAGUGCCUUGUCAAGAAUGUAGACUCUGGAAAGAGAUUCUUUAGAUUUGUAUCCCUCUACCUGUAAACUGUAUGACCUUGGACAAGUCACUAAAACUUUCCAAGCAUCAAUUUCAUCUUCAUCUGAGCAAGGUAGAAAUAGUAGUAUCUUGUUCAAAGGGACUAAGGGGAGAUUGAGACAUUAUGCAUGUGAAGAAUACUGUACACAUUUGUUCUGGUUUCCAGGGAUAUAUUAACAUAAUUUUAAAACAGAAUUUCAAAGAAAGGGGGUAGAGUUGCUGAGUUCUAGAGCAGGAGAAGCCUUGGGUGAGAGGGGGAGCUCAGUUCAGACACACAACUUCAUUCUGGAAAUCCUCACAUGGCUCAUAGGCCAAUUUGCUUAUGUGUGUGUCUAGAUUUGCGUUAUUUGUGCUAGGAAGUAUAUUUUGGGGUUCUGAUUCAUC